AGAGUUUGAUCCUGGCUCAGAACGAACGCUGGCGGCAUGCCUAACACAUGCAAGUCGAACGAACCCUUCGGGGUUAGUGGCGCACGGGUGCGUAACGCGUGGGAAUCUGCCCUUAGGUACGGAAUAACAGUGAGAAAUUACUGCUAAUACCGUAUGAUGUCUUCGGACCAAAGAUUUAUCGCCUAGGGAUGAGCCCGCGUAGGAUUAGCUAGUUGGUGAGGUAAAGGCUCACCAAGGCUACGAUCCUUAGCUGGUCUGAGAGGAUGAUCAGCCACACUGGGACUGAGACACGGCCCAGACUCCUACGGGAGGCAGCAGUGGGGAAUAUUGGACAAUGGGCGAAAGCCUGAUCCAGCAAUGCCGCGUGAGUGAAGAAGGCCUUCGGGUUGUAAAGCUCUUUUACCCGGGAAGAUAAUGACCGUACCGGGAGAAUAAGCCCCGGCUAACUCCGUGCCAGCAGCCGCGGUAAUACGGAGGGGGCUAGCGUUGUUCGGAAUCACUGGGCGUAAAGCGUGCGUAGGCGGUCAUUCAAGUCAGAGGUGAAAGCCCAGGG
Molecule: ribosomal RNA, 553 nt
Filed under: uncultured freshwater bacterium
Lineage: Bacteria
Description: bacterial SSU rRNA
Rfam family: Bacterial small subunit ribosomal RNA
Source: RNAcentral